Molecule: ribosomal RNA, 432 nt
Filed under: uncultured bacterium
Lineage: Bacteria
Description: partial 16S ribosomal RNA
Rfam family: Bacterial small subunit ribosomal RNA
Source: RNAcentral
ACGAACGCUGGCGGCAUGCCUAACACAUGCAAGUCGAACGAGACCUUCGGGUCUAGUGGCGCACGGGUGCGUAACGCGUGGGAACCUGCCCUUAGGUUCGGAAUAACUCCCCGAAAGGGGUGCUAAUACCGGAUAAUGUCUUCGGACCAAAGAUUUAUCGCCUUUGGAUGGGCCCGCGUUGGAUUAGCUAGUUGGUAGGGUAAAAGCCUACCAAGGCGACGAUCCAUAGCUGGUCUGAGAGGAUGAUCAGCCACACUGGGACUGAGACACGGCCCAGACUCCUACGGGAGGCAGCAGUGGGGAAUAUUGGACAAUGGGCGAAAGCCUGAUCCAGCAAUGCCGCGUGAGUGAUGAAGGCCUUAGGGUUGUAAAGCUCUUUUACCCGGGAUGAUAAUGACAGUACCGGGAGAAUAAGCUCCGGCUAACCCCGUG